RNAcentral lists this ribosomal RNA (515 nucleotides) under uncultured bacterium. RNAcentral describes it as "bacterial SSU rRNA". It matches the Rfam family "Bacterial small subunit ribosomal RNA", at positions 29 to 509 of the family's 1533-position model. The record is from RNAcentral.
AUUAAACGCUGGCGGCAUGCCUUACACAUGCAAGUCGAACGGCAGCACGGGGCAACCUGGUGGCGAGUGGCGAACGGGUGAGUAAAGCAUCGGAACGUGCCCUGGAGUGGGGGAUAACGUAGCGAAAGUUACGCUAAUACCGCAUAUUCUGUGAGCAGGAAAGCAGGGGAUCGCAAGACCUUGCGCUGAUUGAGCGGCCGAUAUCAGAUUAGCUAGUUGGUGAGGUAAAGGCUCACCAAGGCGACGAUCUGUAGCGGGUCUGAGAGGAUGAUCCGCCACACUGGAACUGAGACACGGUCCAGACUCCUACGGGAGGCAGCAGUGGGGAAUUUUGGACAAUGGGGGCAACCCUGAUCCAGCCAUGCCGCGUGAGUGAAGAAGGCCUCGGUUGGUAAGACGUCUUCGGUCCGGGACGGAAAGUACGUAUAGGUUAGUAACCUCGUGCGGAGUGACGGUACCGGGUACCGACGUAAGAAGACGACCGGACCGUAACUAACCGUAGUCCGACGCGAGCC